AUGCACGGCGGCGGCACCAGCACCCGUGACGGAGACGGCGAACUGCGCGCGCGCGGCUUCCACGUUCCCCAGCACCGGAGCACCGCGGCGCGCGGCCUCCAGCUCGCCCAGCACCGGGGCAGCGCGGGGCGCAGCCUCCAGCUUUCGCAGCACCGGGGCAGCACGAGUGCCUCCGCCGAUGCCACCGAUGGAGGAAGAAAACCCCCGCCGAUGCCACCGGUGGAGGAAGAAAGGCGCGGCUUCCACCUUUGCCAGCACCGGGGCAGCACGAGCGCCUCCGCCGAUGCCACCGACGGAGGAAGAAAUCCCCCGCCGCCGCCGCCGCAGGACCUCUCGGACAGGCCGGGUUCCUCGCGGCACGUCCUGUCGGGUUCGACAGACCUGAUGGUCGCCCUUUACAUUGAGAUGGGUUUCCCUGCAGCGAAGGUCGCCAUGGCUCUCGAGCACACUGGAGGACAGGUCGAGGAUGAAGCCAUCCUGGACUGGCUGAUUAAUCAUGAGGAGACUGAUCUAGAGGGGUCCAGCUCACCAAUUGACCUGGAGGGGUUCAGCAGUUCAUCGAGUGACCUGGAGGUGUUCGGCUCAUCAAGAGACCUAGAGGCAUUUGGUGAAGAGCUGACAGAGAGAGAAAAGAAGUUGUGGACACUAGUGGAGAUGGGUUUCACAGAGGAAGAGGCCUCUUCAGCCAUUGACAUAUGUGGUGUGCACGAACAAGAUUCAAUACUUGCUGAUGCAGUAUUGGCUGCACAGAUAUUUAAGAGAGACAAUGACUCUGCUGAGAGUGUACUACUGGAUACACCUCAAGAACCUCCAUACUUUUACUUUGAGAAUGUUGAACGCGCCCCGAAAGGGGUUUGGGAUGAGAUGUCUCGUUGUCUUUACAAUCUAGCACCUGAGUAUGUGGACUCAAAGGAUUUCUGUGCAGCAACACGGAAAAGAGGCUAUAUCCACAAUCUUCCUGUAAAAGGAAGGUUCCGUAUCCAGCCAAUGCAACAAACAAAAAUACAGGAGAAAUUUCCACGGACAAAACAAUGGUGGCCUGCAUGGGAUACAAGGACACAAUUGAACUGUAUACAGACUGUGAUGGCCCCUACGACAGCAUCAAACAGGGUGCGAGAGAUCCUUAGUGAUUGUGAUGGCACCCCAAGUGAAGCUAAUCAGAAAAACAUCCUCAAUCUAUGUAAAUGUUGUUGUGUCUGCCGAGAUAUCUGA
This 1212-nucleotide ribosomal RNA is filed under the name Triticum aestivum (bread wheat). RNAcentral's name for it is "partial small subunit ribosomal RNA". Lineage: Eukaryota; Viridiplantae; Streptophyta; Magnoliopsida; Poales; Poaceae. The record is from RNAcentral.